Molecule: ribosomal RNA, 468 nt
Filed under: uncultured bacterium
Lineage: Bacteria
Description: partial 16S ribosomal RNA
Rfam family: Bacterial small subunit ribosomal RNA
Source: RNAcentral
GACGAACGCUGGCGGCAGGCUUAACACAUGCAAGUCGAACGGAAAGGCCCUUCUUGUGUGGGGUUCUCGAGUGGCGAACGGGUGAGUAACACGUAAGUAACCUGCCCAUGACAUUGGGGGAGCUUCAGGGAACUGGGGCGAAUACCUGCUACGAGCUCCUGCUGCGUGGUGUGGGUUGGAAAGUAUCGGCGGGGGGGGUUGGAUUCGUGGUGUAUCUGCUUGUGGAGGUGGUGGGGGAUUACCAAGGCUUUGCCGGGUAGCAGGCGUGAGAGGGGGACCGGCAAACGUGGGACUGAGAUACGGCACAGACUCCUACGGGAGGCAGCAGUGGGGACUCUUGCACAAUGGGCGGAAGCCUGAUGCAGGAUCGCCGCGUGCGGGAUGACGGCCUUCGGGUUGUAAACAGCUUUCGCGUGUGACGAAGCGUGAGUGACGGUACUGGGUAAAGAAGCACCGGCUAACUACGUG